RNAcentral lists this ribosomal RNA (473 nucleotides) under uncultured organism. Its description in RNAcentral is "partial 16S ribosomal RNA". It matches the Rfam family "Bacterial small subunit ribosomal RNA", at positions 335 to 799 of the family's 1533-position model. The record is from RNAcentral.
ACUCCUACGGGAGGCAGCAGUGGGGAAUUUUGGACAAUGGGCGAAAGCCUGAUCCAGCAAUGCCGCGUGCAGGAUGAAGGCCUUCGGGUUGUAAACUGCUUUUGUACGGAACGAAAAAGCUCCUUCUAAUACAGGGGGCCCAUGACGGUACCGUAAGAAUAAGCACCGGCUAACUACGUGCCAGCAGCCGCGGUAAUACGUAGGGUGCGAGCGUUAAUCGGAAUUACUGGGCGUAAAGCGUGCGCAGGCGGUUAUGUAAGACAGAUGUGAAAUCCCCGGGCUCAACCUGGGAACUGCAUUUGUGACUGCAUGGCUAGAGUACGGUAGAGGGGGAUGGAAUUCCGCGUGUAGCAGUGAAAUGCGUAGAUAUGCGGAGGAACACCGAUGGCGAAGGCAAUCCCCUGGACCUGUACUGACGCUCAUGCACGAAAGCGUGGGGAGCAAACAGGAUUAGAUACCCUGGUAGUCCCAUG